This is a non-coding RNA of Cricetulus griseus (Chinese hamster), 4476 nucleotides long. The record is from RefSeq and is a predicted model, not a curated record. NCBI's taxonomy places the organism in Eukaryota, Metazoa, Chordata, Mammalia, Rodentia, Cricetidae.
CUCCCCCCAAAAUAAAACAAAAUAGAAUUAAGAGAAAAAAGGAGAAAAAAGAAGGAGGGGGAAAGUCUCAUCAUGGAAGCUGCAGUGUGACACAGUGAGUCAGGCAGUAAACCCCUUUAUCCAUCACAUGCAGGUGUUCAAGGCCCAUGGUGUCUACUACACCAUUGAUACCAGGCUUUCACAGGGGCUCUUCCUGUUGCUGCCCUGUGUCAUGGAGAUUCUGCAGCCCUGGUUCCAUAGGACUGACCCCCCUAUCCCUAACCCAUGCUCAGCAGAUCACAGAUGGGUGGAUAUUGGGGUGGACCAACACUUAACCCUGGUUCUGAGCCUGGGUAGUUGCAGGGUUGGUCAGCCCACCAGUUCUCCCCUGUCCUCACCACCAGGGUGAGCUCUCCUGAAUUUCCCUGGCUAGUUCACUCCUUGCAACCAUGAGCAAGGUGUAGGGCCAGUUCUUCUGCUUUCAUGUCCUCAGGGCUGGUUCUCCCACACCUACGCCUUUAGGACCAGCUCUACUGUGUUGUACAGUCAAGGUGUAGGGGCCACUCUCCAAGAACUGCAGCUGACAAAGGACAGGAACAGCUUUCCCAUUCUUAAGACCUUAGGGCCAGCUUUUCACUUGCCCCAGGCAUCAAUGGAUAGGUGGGGGUGGAGGGCAUCUCUGCCUAGCCCAUGCUGACACAUGACAGAUGAGUAAUGGGGAUAGUGCUCCCAUGUUCAUAGCUUUAGGGCUGGCUCACCCACAACCUCUGCUAACAUGGUUGGCUCUAUUGUGCUGCCCAGGCAAGUUACAGGGCCUGCUUUCCCUAGUGUUGUAGCUUCAUCUGGGUAUUUUUAUGUGGGUUCUGGGUGAUGGAUCCUGGAAAACACUUUUCAUUUCUCUAGCCCCAAAUGUAUUUUAAUUGUCAUAUAAAGCAUAAAACUACACAUAUUAGUGGGGUACUGAGUAUAUGCACAUACUGUAGUGUUUAAACAAGACUAACUAAAUAUACUUACCUUUUUGAACAUUGAUACUUUCUUUAAAAAUUACAUUUAUUUAUUUAUUUAUUUUAUAUGUAAAUGUAUGAAUGAAUACAUGCCACAGUGUGUAUUUAGAGUUCAGAGAACAAAGUGGGGGCAGGGCUUGGUUCUUUUCCUGCACCAUGUAGGUUCUAGGGAUGGAACUUAGGCCACCAGGCUUGUUAGCAAGCAACUUUACUUGCUGAGUUGUCUGCCUGAUCCGGUCUUUUGGCAAUUUCUUUUCUGUGAAAGCUCUCUAGAUUUCUAUAGUUGGUUUUUUUUUUUUUUUUUUUUUUUUUUUUUUUGUUUGUUUUUUGUUUUUGAACACAGAGGACACUGUGGUCUCAUUAUCACCACCUGUGCAGAAACAAGCAGGGCUUCCUGCUCCCAUCUGUGUCUUGAUGAACGUGGACCCAUCUUUCCCCAUUCCAUCCUGCCUCUGAGAGUAAGAUGUAUGUGUAUGCCCAGGCUGAUGCAAAGGCGUUUGGAAGCUGACCAGUUUGUGACCCCAAGUGACCCUAAGCGAAUACCAGCAGCAUUGUGACAGCCGAAUCAUAAGUCACCCCAGGGAAGGAAUGCUGCCUAUGCCUAUGGGAACCUUUUGUUGAGACCCUGCCCAGAAGCAAGUCUCACCUGGAUCAGAGGAGGGGUGUUAGGAGGAGAGAGAUUAGAAUUUUCUGAAAUGGAAGAAGGGGACAAUGGCCCUUGUGGCUCCUCCAGACUGACAAUGUAGGCUUUGGUCAGCCAUAGGUCCUGGAGGGGGACUUAGAAUGACUGAAGAAGGCUCUUCAUAGCACACCAGGAAUCAUGGGAGCAUGACAGGGCAAUCCUGGGUCUGUUGAAUGGGCUUGCCCCAGGAAUGUUCAGAGGGAACUCUGUCCUUGCAUCAGUGCAAUGUGGCCCCUAACGCUAACCCUAACCCUGAAAUUCACACAUGCAGCUAUCCUGUGACUGUUCAUCUUGACUCUUACCAGCUCCUCACUGCUCGGUCUAGUGGAUCAAAAGUACUGCCCACGCUGAGCAUUUAGAGUGACAAUGGGAUAUUGUGACAAUCUCAUUAGAGGUUGUGGGGUGUAUGGUGAGGGGAGGCUCCCACCCACAGAUGGUUUCAAAGAGCAGAAUUGCUGGGUGGCAGGUAGCCAAGCUUGCCCAGUGAAUCUUGGGCUGGCUGUGGUGGAAGGAAAUUCACUGGGACUUUGCUGUGAGCUAACAGUCUCUGCCCUGCCCUGGAGACAGACUGUCUCAGUCCCACCACAGCUCAUUUCUGCUGGGAAGCAGUGGUGAGUCCCAUUUCUGAUAUGAAGACAUGAAGGUCAGAUUCUCCCUCUUGCUUGGAGUCACAGUGAGCAUUAGAUUUUGACUGUGAGUUCAGAGUUGACAUUUGCUCAUGGGGCACAUGAGUGCACAUUAGAAGGAACAUUAGCCUGUUUCCGGAAGACUUCAACUUAGCUGAGUACUUUUUGCAACACAGAACUUGAACAAACACACACUGCAGCCCUGCCCAGACCUGAAUCCUAAUCCUAUGCUCUCCCAGGAAUCCCGUGCCACUUUCUCCUGCACAGAAGCAGCAGAUGGCCUGAUUUAGCCCCUCUGCUGCUCCUUGCAGACAAUCCUUCCAUUUGGGUGAGUGGAUGAGAACCAUAGAGUCAGAGGACAACUGAAUGACCCUUUAUUCUGCAGAGAUGGAAACUGACAACCAGGAGGUGGCAGUGGCAGCCAAGAACACAUUCCGAGUCACAAAGAACUGUCAGCUCAGGGGGUUCUGGUUCUGGUCAAGGCCUCAGGUUAUCUGUUCAUACCUUGGGGUCUUAGUGGCACCAACAUCCAGGUUGCAUGCAGACCCUGUAACUGGAUAUGGAGUUCUUUCUUUCUGUGGUGGCUGAGAGCUUGGGCUGUAUCUCCUCAUCCUUAGCAGCCACCAAAGUGUUUUCUCCAGAUACCUUGCAGGAAGUUUAACAAAUGGCUUGUUUUGAUAUGGUUCCUCCCCAGGGGCACUGCCACCUUCAGGGAUUGGAGGAAAGUGUCAUUUCCCAGGGCUCAUUGAAUGAGGUACCUUUCUCUGUCUUCCCCAGUUGGUACUCUGUGCUCCAGCAAGGAUAAGCCAUUCUUUAGGGACUCAGUCCUGGGUCACCAGAGCUGCUGGUGAGUGACAUGCUCAGAGUGUCUGACCAGAGCUGACACAGCUGCAGAGACCUGUGCUAGAUGGUGGGAGGAAGAGUGAUUGUGGGUCCUGAGGAUGGGUUGGGACACAGAAUCAUACAGAUUGCUCCACAGUUGUCAAGUGGGUCUCCAGCUUUCUGCUUAUGCCAGCCUACCUGGUGCCCACACCCACCUACCUUCCUUGGGUCUGGUUGGAGUCCCAAGGUGGGAACAAAAGCAGGUCCCAGGAGUCCAGGUGCCUAUGUUCCCAUCUCCCAACUGAAUGAUAAUUGCAGCCACAAACUUCUUUAAGGGAGGGUGACCCACCUCUUCCCUUUACGUUUUUACCCUAUGCCCUGCUGGUGACCUGGGUUUAUGGGACCACCUAUCUCUUCCACAACUGCAGGCCUCCCUUAUCACUUCGAAAUUACACCAACCCGCCCUACAACAGGCAGGAUACUUUGGCUCUGAUGGUUUUAUAGCCCCUUCAUACUAUGCCAAUACCUGGCUUCUAAAGAACUCCCUGUCUGCCCAGAAGGCAGGUGAGUGGGACAUGGCAGAGGCCAGGCCCCAUGGGCUCUGUGGGAGAUGUAGAGUGCCUGUGGGAAUCAUCCAGAAAUGAACUGUUUGCUUCCUUAGAUGCAGAUGAAGUCAUCACCCAUUUUGAGUCAUGAUGUCUAUAAGAGGCACCAAGCUUAGGAGCAACACCAGACCCACCAGGCAGAGAAGAAAGGAUUUCCCAGUUACUGCACAGUGGUGUCCACCCCUGCCUUAGCCAGCCUGCAAAGGUGCCUGUUUAGCCUAGAAGGGACAUGGGAAUUACCCCAAGGCUUUGAGACAUGCAUGGUCAGUGGAGAGAUUUGACCCCAUCCUGAAACUUGGCACCUGAUUGUGAAUAUCCUGGAAGUCAUACCUCAGCAAGCUCCUUUCCAAGGUGGAAAUAUCCCAGAGAGAAGGAGUAGAAGAGAAGCUUCACAGUUAACCAGUAAGUAGUAAGUAUUGGGCUAAACCUGGCUCUAAGCUGUGUCCCUCACUUGGUUGUCAUCCUUAGAGUCUCUUGACUGAAACUCUUAUUUGACGGUGAAUGAACUGAGAGGAAAGAUAAGAGGUUAUUGUUGUUAUACCUGUUGGCUCAGCUCCUUCUUUGAAUUCCCUUGAUUUUGCCUUUUUAUAGAUUGAGCAUGGCCCAUGGACAGCCUAAUAAAAUACCCUUUCAUACCAGGUGUGGUGGCACACACCUUUAAUCUCAGCACUUGGGAGGCAGGGCAGGUAGAUCUCUGUGCCUUUGAGGUCUGCCUGGUCUACAUAGUGAGUUCCAGGACAGCCAGGGCUGCAAAGAGA